UACUCCUACGGGAGGCAGCAGUAGGGAAUCUUCGGCAAUGGACGGAAGUCUGACCGAGCAACGCCGCGUGAGUGAAGAAGGUUUUCGGAUCGUAAAGCUCUGUUGUAAGAGAAGAACGAGUGUGAGAGUGGAAAGUUCACACUGUGACGGUAUCUUACCAGAAAGGGACGGCUAACUACGUGCCAGCAGCCGCGGUAAUACGUAGGCCCCGAGCGUUAUCCGGAUUUAUUGGGCGUAAAGCGAGCGCAGGCGGUUAGAUAAGUCUGAAGUUAAAGGCUGUGGCUUAACCAUAGUACGCUUUGGAAACUGUUUAACUUGAGUGCAAGAGGGGAGAGUGGAAUUCCAUGUGUAGUGGUGAAAUGCGUAGAUAUAUGGAGGAACACCGGUGGCGAAAGCGGCUCUCUGGCUUGUAACUGACGCUGAGGCUCGAAAGCGUGGGGAGCAAACAGGAUUAGAUACCCUGGUAGUCCACGCCGUAAACGAUGAGUGCUAGGUGUUAGACCCUUUCCGGGGUUUAGUGCCGUAGCUAACGCAUUAAGCACUCCGCCUGGGGAGUACGACCGCAAGGUUGAAACUCAAAGGAAUUGACGGA
Molecule: ribosomal RNA, 592 nt
Filed under: uncultured bacterium
Lineage: Bacteria
Description: bacterial SSU rRNA
Rfam family: Bacterial small subunit ribosomal RNA
Source: RNAcentral